AGGUUAAGUUACAAAGGGCGCACGGUGGAUGCCUUGGCACUAGGAGCCGAUGAAGGACGGAACUAAUACCGAUAUGCUUCGGGGAGCUAUAAGUAAGCUUUGAUCCGGAGAUUUCCGAAUGGGGGAACCCAGUACACAUCAGUGUAUUGCUUGUCAGUGAAUACAUAGCUGGCCGGCGGCAGACGCGGGGAACUGAAACAUCUCAGUACCCGCAGGAAGAGAAAGAAAACUCGAUUCCCAUAGUAGCGGCGAGCGAAGUGGGAAGAGCCCAAACCGAGAAGCUUGCUUCUCGGGGUUGUAGGACUGGACAUUGGAGUUACCAAAGUCCGACGUAGUCGAAGUCAGCUGGAAAGCUGCGCCACAGAAGGUGAAAGCCCUGUAAGCGAAACGUCGAACCCUCCGUCCAGGAUCCUGAGUACGGCGGAACACGUGAAAUUCCGUCGGAAUCCGGGAGGACCAUCUCCCAAGGCUAAAUACUCCCUAGUGACCGAUAGUGAACCAGUACCGUGAGGGAAAGGUGAAAAGCACCCCGGAAGGGGAGUGAAACAGUUCCUGAAACCGUGUGCCUACAAUUAGUCAAAGCCCGUUAAUGGGUAAUGGCGUGCCUUUUGUAGAAUGAACCGGCGAGUUACGUUUGCUUGCGAGGUUAAGAUGAAAAGUCGGAGCCGUAGCGAAAGCGAGUCUGAACAGGGCGAAUGAGUAAGCAGAUGUAGACCCGAAACCAAGUGACCUACCCAUGACCAGGUUGAAGGUGUGGUGAAACACACUGGAGGACCGAACCCAUGUAUGUUGAAAAAUGCUGGGAUGAGUUGUGGGUAGCGGUGAAAUUCCAAACGAACUUGGAGAUAGCUGGUUCUCUCCGAAAUAGCUUUAGGGUUAGCCUCGGAGGAUGGAUCAUGGAGGUAGAGCACUGUUUGAACUAGGGGCCCAUCAAGGGUUACUGAAUUCAGAUAAACUCCGAAUACCAUCGAUCUUACUCCGGGAGUCAGACAGUGAGCGAUAAGGUCCAUUGUCGAAAGGGGAACAGCCCAGAUCACCAGUUAAGGUCCCUAAAUUUAUGCUAAGUGGAAAAGGAUGUGGCGUUGCACAGACAACUAGGAUGUUGGCUCAGAAGCAGCCACCAUUUAAAG
Molecule: ribosomal RNA, 1130 nt
Filed under: Lacticaseibacillus paracasei
Lineage: Bacteria; Bacillati; Bacillota; Bacilli; Lactobacillales; Lactobacillaceae
Description: Lactobacillus paracasei partial 23S ribosomal RNA
Rfam family: Bacterial large subunit ribosomal RNA
Source: RNAcentral